ACAGUGGACGCGAGCAUCUGUGGCCAAGUUUUUAAGGGCGCACGGUGGAUGCCUUGGCACCAGGAACCGAUGAAGGACGUGGGAGGCCACGAUAGGCCCCGGGGAGUCGUCAACCAGGCUUUGAUCCGGGGGUGUCCGAAUGGGGAAACCCGGCAGUCGUCAUGGGCUGUCACCCUUGCCUGAACACAUAGGGCAAGUGGAGGGAACGCGGGGAAGUGAAACAUCUCAGUACCCGCAGGAAGAGAAAACAACCGUGAUUCCGGGAGUAGUGGCGAGCGAAACCGGAUGAGGCCAAACCGUAUGCGUGUGAGACCCGGCAGGGGUUGCGCAUUCGGGGUUGUGGGAUCUCUCUUUCAUGGUCUGCCGGCCAUGAGGCGAGUCAGAAACCGUUGAUGUAGGCGAAGGACAUGCGAAAGGUCCGGCGUAGAGGGUAAGACCCCCGUAGUCGAAACGUCAGCGGCUCGUUUGAGAGACACCCAAGUAGCACGGGGCCCGAGAAAUCCCGUGUGAAUCUGGCGGGACCACCCGCUAAGCCUAAAUAUUCCCUGGUGACCGAUAGCGGAUAGUACCGUGAGGGAAUGGUGAAAAGUACCGCGGGAGCGGAGUGAAAUAGUACCUGAAACCGUGUGCCUACAAGCCGUGGGAGCGUCGCGCAAGGACUUGUCCUUGCGUCGUGACUGCGUGCCUUUUGAAGAAUGAGCCUGCGAGUUUGCGGUGUGUUGCGAGGUUAACCCGGGUGGGGAAGCCGUAGCGAAAGCGAGUCCGAACAGGGCGCUGUAGUAGCACGCUCAAGACCCGAAGCGGAGUGAUCUAGCCAUGGGCAGGUUGAAGCGGAGGUAAGACUUCGUGGAGGACCGAACCCACCAGGGUUGAAAACCUGGGGGAUGACCUGUGGUUAGGGGUGAAAGGCCAAUCAAACUCCGUGAUAGCUGGUUCUCCCCGAAAUGCAUUUAGGUGCAGCGUCGUGUGUUUCUUGCCGGAGGUAGAGCACUGGAUAGGCGAUGGGCCCUACCGGGUUACUGACCUUAGCCAAACUCCGAAUGCCGGUAAGUGAGAGCGCGGCAGUGAGACUGUGGGGGAUAAGCUCCAUGGUCGAGAGGGAAACAGCCCAGAGCAUCGACUAAGGCCCCUAAGCGUACGCUAAGUGGGAAAGGAUGUGGAGUCGCACAGACAACCAGGAGGUUGGCUUAGAAGCAGCCACCCUUGAAAGAGUGCGUAAUAGCUCACUGGUCUAGUGAUUCCGCGCCGACAAUGUAGCGGGGCUCAAGCGUACCGCCGAAGUCGUGUCAUU
This 1291-nucleotide ribosomal RNA is filed under the name Streptomyces vinaceus. RNAcentral describes it as "partial 23S ribosomal RNA". It matches the Rfam family "Bacterial large subunit ribosomal RNA", at positions 1 to 1209 of the family's 2925-position model. The record is from RNAcentral. Lineage: Bacteria; Bacillati; Actinomycetota; Actinomycetes; Kitasatosporales; Streptomycetaceae.